UGCAGUGAUCUUUAGCCGGGUAAGUGCCACCAGGAGGAAUGGGUCUGGAGCGUUGCCUCCAGUCCUCUCUCAGCUUCACUGACUUUGAGUUGGGUUUUCCAUAUGUUCCACCACAUAACACAACACAAACUUUGCUGUGAAACAAACACACAGAUAACAAACAGAGGCUCACACAAAGAGUUUUGGGGGGUACCUUUAGAGGAAGAGGAAGAGGAAGAUGAAGAUGAGGAAACAAUGGAGAGUGAGAGACGAAGGGAAGAGAGCUUGGCAAUUAGAGAACACAUUCCAGCUGAGAGAAACCCCAAGCCAACAGUAAUGCAACUGAAACAGAGUGAGAGUGACUACAAUGUGCUGAGGCUGUGUGAACCACCUAUUUCUUUCUAACAGUCUGCCAUGGUGCUUUAUAAGAUUUGGUCACUCGUGUGACCGGGUGCACCUGGUUCGAACCAAAGUCUAAAAAUAUCCAUAGUUUUGGAAAUAUCGGUAGUUCAAAAGCACGGAUAUUUCGAUAUCGAUAAAAAUUGAAUAAAAACCACGAAAAUUGUAAGCAAAACUUGAAAUUUUUUCUUCAAAAGUUGGAGGAUUUUUAUUUAGUCAAUUAUCUAUUACUUUAUCAUAAAACAUUGGAAGGAUAUGCAUUGCAUGAUGUGUUUAACUGAUUUAAGUUGAUUAUAUAGCAAGCUGACAAAUACUCCAAGCGUAGAAAAUAUGUAAUAAUUAAUUAAAGAAGAUUAAACACACCAUAAUCAAUGCUAUACAUUGCAUGGUAAGAUGCAUGAGUGACUUAGUACCACAUAUAGUUUGUAUAAGAUUCAAAUUUGAGUUAUUUACACUAUCAACUCCUGAGGUUUUCGGUUUUGUCACAAAACUCCUUGAGGUUUUAGAAAUUAUAAGAACACCCCUGAGAUUUUAAAUUGUUUUCACAAAACUCAUUUUCAUUGAUUUUUCAUCCAAAGAUUGAUAAUGUUAUACACACAAAAAUUUCCAAAUGACAAAGUUGGCAUUUGAGAUUAGAUUGCAUAUACUUCAUUGAGGUUAAUUUUGUCAUUUGCAUAAGUUUUUUUUUAAUAAAUGAAAUCAUCAAUUUUGGACAAACAAUCAACGAAAUGGGGUUUUGUGAAAACAAACUGAAACCUCAUGAGUGUUCGUGUAAUUUUUUAGACCUAAUGGGGUUUUGUAAGAACACAAGAAAUCUCAGGGGGUGUUAGUGUAAAUAACUCUUCAAAUUUUUCAUUGUCUUCAUCAUCUCGAUAUUAUCGAUAUUAUAGCGAUAUUUUGACCAAAUGUUGCUGAAGUGUGAGAGAAAUUAUCGACGUCGAUAUUUUUCGAUAUUAUUGUCGAUAUUAUCGAUACUUAUAUAGAUAUGUUCCAAAAUAUCCUAGACCCGAAAAAACGAUAAUAUCCUUCAUAUCUUAGUAGUAAAUACUUGAAAAAUUGUAGGGUCCAAGUCUACCGAGGGAUGGCAAGUGAUUAGGUCUUUGAACAAGGUUGUGAAAACUUAAAUAACUCGCUUACCUUGAGUGCUAAUAAUUUACUCUAUGGUUCUUUGUGAACAAUUUGCAUUUAACUAAGCCUGAAAUCAAGCAACAUAGAUGUACUGGCAUGAAACCAUUUUCUUCUACUUAGUAAGAUGCUCAUACUUGUUUAAGGUCUUAAAAUCAAAUUUUAAUGUAUGAAACCUGGUGUUUGUUAGGAUUGAAUGUGGCUUUCAUAGAGGUCUCUGUGUAUUUUAAUGGAUGAAACCUGGUUGCGACUCCAAUUAUUUUGAAUUGACACACCAACUCUCUCUUUGCAUAGUUUUUGUCAGUAUUUAUUGUCAAGUUUUGUAAUGUAUAGGUAUCCUCAGACGUCAGAGGAUGCCAUUUCUGAGUCUUGUCCAGUAUGCUGUGGAAAUUGCUGAUUAGAAGAUGACUUCACAUGAAUACAAUUUUUUUUUGGGUGAUUUUUGAAAAUUUUGUAAAAAACACGUGUAUUAAAUAAGAAAAAUACAUAAGUAUGUGUAUUGUAUGUAUGUUUUUAAAAAAAAUAUGUAUUUUACCGGGUCUUUAAGAUGUGUAUGGAAAACAGAAGUAUUAUUGAAAAAUACGUACUUACGUGUAUAAUACAAGUAUUAAAUGGAAAAAUGCUAAAUUCUUUAUAUGGGUAAUAAAUAAAAAAUCAAAAGGAGACAAUAGAGACUCGGGUAAUGGCCUAUGCUAUAAACUACUCUUAUCGAUAAAUGAAAAUCAGGGGAAAAAAAUGUUUAAAAAAAGAGUAGAGCCGGGCGGCUAUAUUUAAGGGUAGAGCUAUUAUUUAAACAGUAUAGCCGCGCGGCUGUACUAUUUAUUUGGAAAAAAAAAAAAAUAGGACCCGCCUAGACCGCCUAGGCGGCCGAUUUUUCGAAAGCCUGAAUCGGGUUGUUUUUUUAUUUUAAGAUUUCUUUUUUUCGGUGGGUCUGACAUCUCUGCAAAUACAAAGCUAAGGUUUUAGUGACUUACUCACUGUUUAUCAACAACGUAAAGGUUAGCUCUUCCCAACAAUUCACUCUUAAAUUGAGGGUUGAAGCCAUGUCUGAAAGUAAUUGUGGUUUCCAAUGUGCAUGCCACCAAAUAUCACACUCACCUGAGGAAGGUAAGCGGAGGGAUUGAUUUGACAACGUAGUUCAAGAACUGAAGCAUCAAGUAUGCAUAUAGUUCCAUAUACCGUCUGGCCAUCACCUGAGUAUGUUGCAUGGGAAAUUGAUGCAGAAAAAUCUGGAACCCACUGGAAAUACAACACAAAAGACUUAAAUCAUCCGUAUCCUCAAACAACAUGAGAGAGAGAGAGAGAGAGAGAGAGAGAGAGAGAGAGAGAGAGAGAGAGAGAGAGAGAGAGAGAGACCUGGUUAACAUAUGCUAUUUCUUUCACUUCAUAUACUGCAAGGUGAAUCUUGUUUAUGGCAAGGAGGUGCAGAUCAUUCUGGUGAAUUUGGAUGUAAGUAUCUGACAAUGAUCUCAACUCCUUCCCAUCUGGAAUCUGCAACAAUUUGCUUCUCUGUUUUUCCCACCCAGCAGCACCCCAGCACAAAAUCUGCAGGGCCAAAACUACAUCGUUAAAUAACAGAAGUCACAUUAAAGUAGAAGCCAUGUCUGAAAGUAAUUGUAGUUUCCAAUAUGCAUCAGCACCAGAAGAAACUAGUACAUAAGAGUGUUCGAGAAGGCAAGGCUAUACCGUCAUCUCAGGGGUGAAAAGCAAGAAAUGUUGCCGCAGGUGGCGGUGGCGGUGGCAUGACUUUCUUCAUGGUCUGCGUUUUUACGCAUCAGAUUUUUAUGAGUACAAUGAGUUAGAUCAUGAGAAAUUUGCAAACAGAACCUAAGCAUAUUGACAAACAAGAUUUGGGAAGUUUUGGCUGGGAAAAGAAUAUUUCAAGAAUACUAUGUGUUGGGUUUACCUUAAAUGUUGUCAUGUAAAAAAUGGAGAUCAUCCCUCCUGUUGCUGAUAUGAGAUAUCAAUCAUUCUUGGACAAAUCAAAGCAGGACAUAGCCUCUUCAGGGUUGGUGCUGGGAAGGUCAUUGUUCAUCAGCUCUAAGCCACUCCUUGGUUUCCAUAAAUUAGGGUGAACCUUGGGAGUUUGGGUAAUCACCACAUUUUUUAGAGUAUUUGAAGUGGAUUUCGGGUAAUCACUACAAAUUUUUUUAGUAUCCAUUUUGGGUCCAUAUUGCCUGAAUUGUGAAGUAAUUGGCAAUUCUGGUAGGUUGGUGCCACAGGAAAAGCCCUGAGGGAUGUCAUUGCUGUUGUAUCGGUGGCAGCUUCUACUGGGGGAUGGCAAGUGAUUAGGUCUUUGAACAAGGUUGUGAAAACUUAAAUAACUCGCUUACCUUGAGUACUAAUAAUUUCUGCUCUCUGGUUCUUUUUGAAUAAUUUGCAUUUAACUAAGCCUGAAAUCAAGCAACAUAGAUGUAUUGGCAUGAAACUAUUCUCUUUUAGUUAGUAAGAUGCUCAUUCUUGUUCAAGGUCUUAAAUUCAAAUUUUAAUGGAUGAAACCUGGUGUUUGUUAGGAUUUAAUGUGGCUUUAAUAGAGGCCUCUGUGUAUGUAUGGUUGCGACUCCAAUUAUUUUGAACUGACACACCAACUUUCUCUUUGCAUAGUUUUUGUCAGUAUUUAUUGUCAAGUUUUGUACUGUAUAGUUAUCCUCAGACGUCAGAGGAUGCCAUUUCUGAGUCUUGUCCAGUAUGCUGUGGAAAUUGCUGAUUAGAAGAGGAAUUCACAUGAAUACAAUUUUUUUUUACUGGGUGAAGAGAAGCAUUCUGCAAAUGACAUUGACACGCAGACACUCAGAGGCUUAUAGUUAUACUCUUUGCUUUUCAAUAUUUUACAAUCAUUUGUGUAUUGGUAGAGCCUUUACCAGGAACAUAUUCUAUAUCACAUUUAUUCUGUAGUCUGAUUAUCAUUUGAUAUUAACUUUGUCAGCAACAACUGCAAAACUUCUAUUUUUCAUUUUCACAGAAGCUUUCCUAGUUGUUCAUAUGAUCUCUGGCUCAACUGUUGUAGGGAGAUCCGAGAUGGGCACUUGCAGGGAGGUGGGAAGGAAGUGAUUAUGGAAUAUGUCAGUCGGGGCCUAUACUAUUUGCAUAGUGGAAAGGAAAGGGUGGAACUGCUUCCUGAAACUAGCCCCAAGCGUUCUGGAAGGUGAACAUUUAAGUGGAAACCAAAUGAAGAUGGAAGUAUUUGUUGCCCCCCAAAGGACAUGAAUGGCUGUGGUGAUGGUAUUUUAGUAUUUAGAUGCAUGUUUUCCGAAAAUCACAUCAGGGGGUUGGUAAAGAAAGCAGGAGAAAUAGAUGAAGCUUACAAACUUAAGUGAAAAUUUGGCAGAAAGGCGUUUAUGUCUCAACUCUGUGGAUGAUGUCGACUCAAGCAGCAUAGCUUCUAGAGCUGCUUCUGAAGAAAACUAUUUGUACGGUCCAAGGGCUGGAGAUAUCCAACGUGAGAAUUUAAAGCAUUUUCAGUGGCAUUGGUUCAGGGGUGAACCUGUAAUUGUGAGUAAAAUGAAACUACAAAAGGUUUAAUCUGGGAACCAUUGGUCAUGUGGCAUGCUUGUCGUCAGAUGCAACAUACUAAGCAUGGUAAACAUUUGGAAGUCAAGAGCAUUGACUGCUUGGAUUGGUUUGAGGUGAGUUGUCCUCUGGCUUUGAAUUGCUGUAAUUAUGUUUCUAAUUGCUCACUGCUGCUUGUAAUGAUGUUUUAAAUAUGUGAACUGUUUAAAGUAAUAGUGCGAGAUGUUUGGGAAAUAUCUGUAUUCUGUACACAGUUGUUGUCAUCAAUUUAGGUGGAUAAUUAUGAUGGUAUUCGAAUUUUUCAUCACAAACUGUGUCUUUUUGACGUUGUGGGUGAUUCAUCCCAUUGAUCAGACCUUUUAUCUGACUCUGGAGCAUAAACAGGAAGAAUAUGAUUAGUUCAUUAAAUACUUUUGAGUUGUUUGUGCAGGUGUUUUAGUUUGGUUGACAACUUUUUCUAAUAAAAUCUUUAAAUAUCGUUCCUUGAAGAUCCAAAUUUCUGAAUAUCGUUCCUUGAAUGGUGUGGCAACUGAAUUACUUGCUCAAAUUCAAUAGUGGAGGGCACUGAAUCUCUUGAAAUAAAUAGCUAUCCCUGCAGUUAUUCAUAUAAAGAUCAUUCAUACAUGAAAUAGGCUGAAAGAAACAUAUUAUUUAAUUGAUUCAUAUAAAAUUUUAACAUGAUAUCAGAGCACCAGUUCUAGGGUGUCUCUUGAAUACUUUUUUUUUACACUCCUUUUAUCACCUAGGGUUUUUCACAACCCUAGCCACAACACCCAAUCAUGGGUGACAACAAAUCAAACACAUAUCAAACAUCAGCUUCCGACAACGAAGCCCCCAGGUUCACAACUGAAGAAUACAGUCAACUUAAGUCUCUUCUUCACAAUGGUACAGUAUCUCCUUUUUGCGCCAGCGCCAAUAAGUCAUCACCAUCCACAACAUCUUGGAUACUUGACAGCGGAGUCACCGAUCAUGUCGCUCCUCCUUCUAUGUUAAACACAUUGAAAGUUGCACCUUUGUUUUCCCCACAUUCGGUUUACAUACAGGUACUUCCUGAUGGUAUGGUAAUCGAGUUAAUAAUGAGCAAAUUCCAGACCCUUUGGGCCAAUAUGUUAGAACCUUUAUGCUACUAACAGUAAGUUAAGCUUGAUUCAGUAGAUAAUAAAACCUUUGUAUAAUAUGUCAGACCAAGGUGAUGGUGACAAAAUGUAACCAUGAUUCUUGCAGUAGACUUGUAAGUUUGAGAAAGUUUUAUUAUUUGGAGUUUAAAAUUUUUUUUAAAGGCUUCAAGUAUUAUUUUUUUUGGCCCCUUGUAACUAAAAUAAAUGAGUUUUUUUGGUCGAAGUAAAAUAAAUGAGUAUUUAAACAAGUUAUUUGAAUCAAUUUGAAGAGUUUUAGAAAUAAAUAAAUGAGUAUAUAAUGACGUGAAAAAUAACAAGUCUAAUAAUUCCUUCCUCCAAGAAAAACUGUACAUUAAACUGUUUGUUCUUCCAAAAUUUAGUCUCAGCCAAAGUUUUGACGUUACAGAAAUGGUGUUACAAUUUACAAUCCAAUUUUCCUUGAAUUCAUUUUAUCUGAUUUGACUUUUCUCCUUAGUUGAGCAGAAGCUUUCCAUCACCAAUUUGACUUCAACAGAAGAAUUCUUGGCUUGGAAUCAAUUACCUAUGAUCAUAGCAAACAUAUAUGUCAACCUGAGAAGAACAAAGAAUUGAUCGAUACGUAAUUGGUUAUAUAUAUAUAUAUAUAUAUAUAUAUAUAUAUUUACAGAAAAGAUUAAGGACAACAUUCGGUGUACAUUGAAGUGCCCUCUUUAUCAUCUGCAUUUCCCCAGCUAAUGCAGUCACUUGUUGGUAAGAAUCCGAUCGAUUUCACCAUUCUUAUUGUAGGUAUCCACAAUCUUCUUUGCAUAUGAAGGCAUAUGCUGAUCAGCUCUGCAUGGUUCAUGUUUUCUUUUGGUAAAUUGCAUGUUUUCAUGUUUCGAAUAUAAGAAACCAGCAUCACAGUUCUACUAUCAGGUAACACAUUGAAAGUUGCACCUUUGUUUUCCCCAUAUUCGGUUUACAUACAGGUAGUUCCUGAUGGUAUGGUAAUCGAGUGAAUAACGAGCAAAUUCCAGACCCUUUGGGCCAAUCUGUUCAACAAGAACCAAGUCAUAAAAUAAAAGUUUGAAUAUAAUUUUAUAAUUCCUAAAUGCAUCACUCAGAGUCCUUACCAAGUUUAGCAAGAAAGCAAUCACAUUGCCAACAAACUUUGGGGCAGGUUCAGGACCCUUUCCUGAGAAACAAGAUUGUGAAAACAAUGGUAAGCAGCAUAUAUUUUGCGAGUCCUCCAGAAUUUUGGAUGAGCUAUAUAGCCUAUAUUACAAACCAAAUGAUUUUCAAGAAAAAUAAAGCAUAUUUUCUUCAGAAGAUAGAGUCUAAUACAGCGAAAUGAUAAACAUUUCUAUUCUUGAUCCCAUCAAGGGGAGGUCCUAUUCCCUGAAUACACCCAUAAAAAGUAUCACAAAAAAGAUACAGCACGUACCCAACUUUGCAUUAUCAUCUGCCUUAACAGUCUCCAUGACAAAUGGUUGGCGAUUUCCCUGUAAUUGGCCAUGCUUAGAAUACUUCAUUGCAAAGGAAACUAUGUCCUCUAAACAUUAAAUUUCAAAUCACAGAAAUACAGAGAGAGAAAUAGGAUAGGAUCAAGGUUUUACACUGCUAGUUGUUGGAGUAACCUCCAAAAGAUUAUCAACCAGACUGAGCAUCUCUCUUCCACGUUCAUUUCUACCAUUUGAAGGCAAGAAAAAAAUAGAAAUCUUUAUUUAUUUAUUUCCUUUACCACCAAAGUGGAAUAAAAUAUUGCAAUAGCACAAUGAUAAUCAAUAAGCACAACAAAAAGCUGCACACAGAGUCUGAGCAACGAUAUUACCUUACCGUAACAUACUGUGGAUGUUGAGUCAUGCUGAUUCCAGAAUAUUUUGGCACACCCAUGUAUCCCACAACUAAAUCCUGAAAUAGGUGAGAGACAUGUGAGAACCUUUAUACUACUAACAGUAAGUUAUGCUUGUGUCAGUAGAUAAUAACAGCUUUGUAUAAUAUGUCAGACCAAGGUGAUGGUGAUAAAAUGUAACCAUGAUUCUUGCAAUAGACUUGUAACUUUAAUUAAUUUUCACCAAGGUUAUAUGCAGAGAGAGAGAGAGAGAGAGAGAGAGAGAGAGAGAGAGAGAGAGAGAGAGAGAGAGGAUAGUAGCAGCAGUUGAUUCCAAACAAUUGGAAAUUCCUUGUUUUUGUUGAAUUGCAUUUUUCAUGUCUAAAUGAGCUUCCAAGUUUUAAUUUGAUCAUCAAACAUAGUCCAAUUUCAUGUACAAAUACCCAGUUUCAAAGACUUACAUCUAUCUUUGACAUAAAAGUGUUCCUACAUUACAUAAUACAUUAUCCUUCAUAAACCAAUUGCUGAAUUGAGACAGUACAAAGUCUAAUAACUCUCCCUCUUUCCCUCUCCCUGGCCAAAAAAGAAAAAAAAUACAAAACAAAAAGAAAAACAUGCAAAAGCAAUUAACUUAAGAAGAAAUUUAAUAUCAAAAUAAAUGUUUAAUCGUAGAAAUUAGUAAAAAAUGAACUAUUUUCAACAGAAAGUGUUACUUGCAUAUUCUAACCAAAAAAUGCAUGGGAACAAUGAGAUGCAAUCAAAACAACACAUACUCCAAAAAUAAAAAUAAAUAGCAUUCCCGUAUCCUUGUAAAGAUGAAAACUCACCGCUAAACCAUUUGUAUAAUCGAAACAACUGCAAGACCAAAAAAAAGAAAAAAAAAGGGACAGGUUAGGAAAAUAUACGACAGAUAUAAACUAUAGUAUUUGAUAUAUGUGGCAUUUCUGUUUGUGAAAUACGUCAUCUAAUUGUAAGUUACUUGUUCAAUCGAUCUGAGGGAAUUCACAAAUGAAAAGUUAAUAAAUAUGUAGCAGUAGUACAGGUGGUGAUGACAAUGAUACUUCUGCGUUUCCAAUAUCAAGCAUGGUCCCUGAAUCUUAUUGACUAUAGCUUCGGGGACAUCUGGUACAAUUAGAAUGAGAAGUGAAGAUUACCAUGUAUUUAACAACUCUCUCCUAAAGCCCCAAAAACAUCUAUAAAGUUCAAUGCAUGUGCACACAAUGCUUUUGAUAAUGUCAACAUGUGUUGAUUGUGUGUGUGUGAGAGAGAGAGAGCAAUUGUUUAUCUUUCCUUUUCUUUGCAUAUUUAGUGUACAUCCACUGCAAUCUUAUCCUCAAGGUUGCUAGUCCUAUUUAGUUGCUGAUGUUCUUUCUUAAUAUCUAAAGGUAUGUCUACAGCAAUUUCAGAAAUCAAUUUUCCUUCACCAAAACUGUCAAUCAUACCUUCUAGUUGUUGAAUCUAAUUCACAUAAAAAAUAUUCAAAAACUACUAAGUAUUACAAAGGAAAGGACAAACAGUACCUAUAACAAGAAGGAGCAAUUACAUCAACCAACUCAUUUGCUGGCAGAGAGAAAUACGGAACCUGCUUUGGUUAUGAAAUGAGAUGAAGUAGCAUGAAUGGGAGAGUAAAUACCAAUUUGAACAUAUGAGGACCACUUUUACCUCUUCAAUAUGACCAUCCAAAUGCUUCAAGUGAACCUAUCAAGAGUACAGGAAUAAAAUUUAAGAAAUAAUAUAGCCAACUAGCCUGUUAAGAAAUGCUCACACUAGGAAUGGUUGGCAUAUAAGAAAAGAUAAACAAUUAGUGUCCAUUUUACUAUCAUAAGCAUAUAAUCUAAAACAGAUAUAAGCCUGUCAGACCGCACCACUAAAUUAUUAUAAAAGUAAAAUAAAUGUAUCCAUGAAAUCUUUCAGAAAAUUUGUGAAAAGCCCAAUCCCACAGAACUCAUCCAAGGUUGAUCCCCUUUUUCGAAACAAGAUUAUUGCUAUAAGUGUUAAACAAAGGGUGUGCAAUGGCACACAUGACCACCUUGAAACAUUGCUCAGACCUUGGGCUCUUCUAAUAAUUGAAAUUAGUACCUUUUAUGAUAACUCAUCCAAAUCCUGUACUAUAUAGAGAUCAAAUACUCAAUCGCCACAAAAUCUACAAAAGGAAUUUCUUAGUGCAAACCUUGUAAUCUUGCAUAAACUCAUAAUGAAGAACUGUCUCCGGUUCACUACUUGCAGCCUUUAAAAACUUAUCAAGCCCUUCUCGAGUCCCAUUGUCCACUGUCAAACAAGGGCAUCAGUACUGAUACAAAUUCUACUACUUGUUACUGAUGUCAUUUACUAGAAUGAGGGCAUUAUAUAGUUGUUGACUACAUACAUAUUUAAUAAAUAAUGAUGCUGCGGUUGAUGAUGUGAUGAUUAUGAUUACAGAGACAGUAAGAUACAGUUUAUUAUAGUAGUUCAUCUAUGCCAUGUUUAACAUGAUGUCAUGGCAAUUAUAUACAUAUUUUUCCUCUGGGGCCUUAAGUAAUAGACAUAAGUAAACUUGAUGGCUAGACUACUCAUCGAAAUCGAGAAACAUAAAAAAUAAAAUAAUAAUAAUGCAUACGCCUUUUACUAACCGCAAUUUGUGCCUAACACAUAGAGCUUGUCCAAAUUUAAAUGGUGCUCCACAGAUCGUAAUGCUGCAGUUUAAGAAAUUACUCUGCAUUACGAUAGUACAAGUCACAACAGAGAAGGACUGAAAGUAGAACUUGUAAGAUUAUAUUAUAAAUGCUACCUUGCACCUGGCAACCCACACCACAGAAUAGAAGUUUCUUUACACCUGCAGCCUAUUUUACAGGAAAGGCAAACACUUGUGUCACUAAAACUCAUAAGAAACGUGCAAUUUUGUAACAACAAAGGGGCAGUGUAGAAUAAACAAAUGUGUGCCUGCACACACACAUACACCCAUACAUAGACCAAACAAAAUGAACUUCUGAAGAGUGAAACCAGAACAGGAGUUAUUAUGCCUAAAGUCUAUAAACAAGAAACAAAAUCAGAAAGGUAAAGAACAAACCCUCCAACAUGUGAACCCACAAGUUAGGGACGCUAAAAGGCCAUACGCUAAAAAACCUCCAACUUAUGUUUUGUCAAGGAAUCUUCCUCCUCAUUGGCAGUCCUAGCCACCUUCAAAAUACUAUACCCACAAAACUCCAUUAACCAGUGAGUGUAUGUAUAAGGAACAGGGAAAUCAGCUCUGGGCGUCUAAUAAUGGAGGAAGUGUUGCCCUCCAAAACUUUAUGGAAAAAAAAGAGAAGUGCCAAAGGAGGGGCGCCGUAUUUGUAUAAAUUAGAUCUGUAGUUAUAGUCACAAGACUCACAACUAACAAGGAAAUCGAAGGAGUAGGACGAAGUACAAACCAUUCACUCAAAAGCAAUACCAACAAUUAAGAUUCAAGCUCCAUAAAAGGAUGGUCCAUCACUUAAAGGACAGAAAAGUCCUAAACAAAAAAACCCAGACCACAAAGGAUGCUAUGCUCUUAUUAAAGUUGACUCAACCACAAAGCAUGUUCGUUAAAUAGCACAGGAAAUAGUAAAUUAAGAUUUGUGUCACUAAUGAAAAAGAAAAUCAGCCACCUCAACUAGGGCAAGGGUAUUAAGAUUAGGAGAUAAUGUCGGCUUGACACCUUUAGCAGCUAAAACUUCCUCUGGUGUCCUGUUGAGAAGGGGGUAAAGAGAAAUGACAUAAUGAGGAUGGAAUAACAAUAACCAGAAACAAAAAUUGUCAUUGAGAAAAAUCAAAAUGGUAGAAGAAUUUUGUCUCAAAGAAAAUGAACUAGAUGCAAACCUUGCUAAUACAGGCCGUGCAGUAAAUCUGUCGUUUGGGUCACUGUAAUAAUUAAAACCAUAUGAUAAUUAACAUUCCAAAAGGGGAAAAAGGUAAAAGGAUUGAAUAGGAUAGAUGAGUCCAUAAUGUUAUCUACUCCAGUAAAUUCAGGCCAGGACCUCUGUACACAAAUUACGGCCUCUACCAUGCCUGAUUUUAGCAUUUCUAUUGCAAUAGUUGUUACUAUUCCUGUCCACUGAGCUCCUGCCAUCAAAGAAAGCAAUGCAACAUUUUCAUAUUACAGUGACGAGAAAAAUCAGACGAGACACAAAAGAUGCACUACAAAGCAUUUGACUCAAGAAAUUCUGACACACGAUAAAGAAAUUAUUUACACAAAUUGCAAUUUAUUAUGAGAAUUUCAAAAUUUUAAAAGUUAAAUAAAUAAAACUCAAAUCUUAAACUGGAAAAGUAGGUAGAAUUCCUAGUAAUGAAAAAUGGGAUGACUUAGAUGCCUCAGAUGAGGUUCUACAAACUAACACUACCAAUCUCCCUUGACAUAAGACUAAAACUAUAGUGAUGCUGAAUGACUGAUAAAACAAAAUUACCUUCAACAGGGAUCACUUUACGAGCAUACAACAACUCCUCAUAGACACCCAAGUACAUUUCAUCUGAGGAACCUGUUUUUCUCCCUCUACCAUGAACUACAGGUUCCAAGCCCUGAAUGGGAAAACAAAAGGGUACAUGAAUGCUGGAAUAUCAAAGAAACAACUUGAGUUUUUAUUGAAUUAACCAACAACGCUAGGUUACUAUAAAGUAUAAAAAUCCAAAGCUAUGUAGUUCCACAAGUCUAGAUGAUGAUUUAGUUAAAUAUGAAAAGAAAACUAAUAGUAAUGAUAAUAAAGAAAUCUAAUGACAACAUUGGUUGUAGUUCCACAAAGAAACAACAUUGGUUGAAGUAAAAAUUUGGUCUGGUAGCACCUCUAACUUGAAUUUCAAGAAUCAAGACUGAUGAAUAAAAUGGAAAUCAUGCAUGGCAAUGGAUCAUUAAAAAAAUUAUAUUUUGAACGCAAAUUGAAGUUCGAUCAUUCCACUGCACUUCAUAUAAGCGCUUCAAAUGUCCCCAUCCGGUGUAUGGUACAUGAUAUUAGAGAACUCGAGCAUUACUGUGCUCUAAAUUUGUUUCAGGAUUUCAAGAAAUGACACCAACUUCCAUCUACUAUUUAAGAGUAAAAAUUCAAUGAAAGUAUGAAAAAUUGGGAGAGGAACAAGAACUUACUUCAAUCUUAGACAUUCCAUCUCCUAAGAAAGCACAGGCUUCCUUGACAUGGGCAAUGUAAUAUGUGUCGCACAACCCGCAACGACUACCAAAAGACAAGAUUCAGCAAAUAAAGAAAUAAAUAAAAAUUCAAACUUUAAAUGCAAAAAUUUAAAUUUAUAAAACGUAAAAGUGGGGUAAUGAAAGGAAGUGAAAGAGCUUCAAAAAUGAACCUGCAGUGGUCUUUAGCCGGAUAAGUGCCACCAGGAGGAAUGGGUCUGGAGCGUUGCCUCCAGUCCUCUCUCAGCUUCACUGACUUUGAGUUGGGUUUUCCAUCUGUUCCACCACAUAACACAACACAAACUUUGCUGUGAAACAAACACGCAGAUACACAAACAGAGGCGCACAUAGAGAGUUUUGGGUGGUACCUUUAGAGGAAGAGGAAGAGGAAGAGGAAGAGGAAGAUGAAGAUGAGGAAACAAUGGAGAGUGAGAGAGGAAGGGAAUAGAGCUUGGCAAUUAGAGAACACAUUGCAGCUGAGAGAAACCCCAAGCCAACAAUAAUGCAACUGAAACAGAGUGAGAG
RNAcentral lists this long non-coding RNA (13555 nucleotides) under Prunus persica (peach). Its description in RNAcentral is "long non-coding RNA (PPER_LNC000126)". The record is from RNAcentral. Lineage: Eukaryota; Viridiplantae; Streptophyta; Magnoliopsida; Rosales; Rosaceae.